UCCUACGGGGGGCAGCAGUGAGGAAUAUUGGUCAAUGGUCGGGAGACUGAACCAGCCAAGCCGCGUGAGGGAUGAAGGUACAGAGUAUCGUAAACCUCUUUUGUCAGGGAACAAAGGCGGGGACGCGUCCCCGGAUGAGUGUACCUGAAGAAAAAGCAUCGGCUAACUCCGUGCCAGCAGCCGCAGUAAUACGGAGGAUGCGAGCGUUAUCCGGAUUUAUUGGGUUUAAAGGGUGCGCAGGCGGAGGUGCAAGUCAGCGGUCAAAUUGCGGGGCUCAACCCCGUACUGCCGUUGAAACUGCAUCC
RNAcentral lists this ribosomal RNA (305 nucleotides) under uncultured bacterium. Its description in RNAcentral is "bacterial SSU rRNA". It matches the Rfam family "Bacterial small subunit ribosomal RNA", at positions 337 to 640 of the family's 1533-position model. The record is from RNAcentral.